Molecule: non-coding RNA, 3817 nt
Organism: Vicugna pacos (alpaca)
Lineage: Eukaryota; Metazoa; Chordata; Mammalia; Artiodactyla; Camelidae
Source: RefSeq, a predicted model, not a curated record
AAAAAGAAACAGUUUCCUCAGGACCAAUUGUUUUCAACAUCUGAAACUAUUUUGGUAGGCAUCUCUAUGUUUCUAAAUAAUAUUCUUAUACGAUUGCUUUUUCUUUUUCUAGUUUUUCCAUUGUCUUUUGCUUUCCCACCAUGGAAGAGAAGAGUCAUAUCUGUCUCCAACACAUCCACACGUCUUGUUUUCUUACCCUCCCAGCUGGUUAUAAUUUUCAUUACAUCAUUACUCAGUUUUUACAUUAUUGUGACUAUGUGAAAACUAUGGACAGCUGAACUAUUUAGUAUACUAUGGUUAGUUUUCCUUCCCUGUACACUUUUUGCUUAAUAAGUCUUUGUUGUUAUUUGCCUAGUUUUCUAUGUAUUAACUACUACUUGUCCCUAAACUCAACCCCAGCAGUCCAACACCCUUUUUAGUAUCUUCAAACAUGUAAGAUAUGCUAGCAUUUCAUCUCGAGACAAGGUCUCCUGGAGCAUUCUAGCCUUUGCCAAUUUUGCAUUGGUGUGUACCAAGGUCUUGCAUAGUCAUUUUCUUGAGACCUCCUUCACUGCCAUCCUUCACCUUUCUCUUCUAAUUGUCAUUUAUAUCCUGUGUUGCUUUUGAGAAUUCCAGUGCUGUUCUGACCCUUGACCCAUUUUCCUGAUUUUGUUUCUCUUUCCUGAAGCUUUUAGAAUCUUCACUCUCCCUGACAUUCUGGAAUUUCCCAGACAUGUCUGGGUGGGUGUCUGUGGGCUAGCAUCCAUUGGCCUCUGCACUCUGGAAAUUCGUGCCCUUCAGUUCUAAGAAAUUUUCCUGAGUUAUUUCUUUAUAAUGUGCUUCCCUUUGUUUUCUUUGUUCUCCAUUUCUAGAACUACUGUUACUCAGAUACUGACCCACCUAGCUUGUUCUCUAAAUUGUGUCAUUUCCUCCCCAAUUUUUAUUUCUGUAUGUAAUUUUUUAAAGCUAUUUUUUCCCUUAAAUUUUUUUAAAGUAUCAUUUUGUUCUUGUUGCACGGAUGCAAAAUCAACUCUUCUCUCUGAGGAUGUUAAUAAUUAUUUUUUCUUACUUAGUUUUUUCUGCCUGCAUGGACUCUCUUCCAAGCUGCUUUUCCCUUUUUGUUUUAGCCCCUGUUUAGUAUUACAGCCUUUAAAAAAAAUGUUUGGUAAUUCUUUGCUAUCUGUUCAUGUGUAAGAGUGGGACACUUAAAAAGCUGCUUUCAGAAAGUAGGACAAGACUCUCCAGAUAGGAGAGUAGCAGAGCCUUCUCUGGGAAAUACCAUCAGCCCAACAGGAAAAAAGCUAAAGAUAAUAACAUUUGGGGUUCACUUAUGAAACCGUCCAGCCAGGACACCUGAAAGAAUUGUAUAGAUUAGAAAUAAUAAAUACAAAGGUGGGUAAGUAUUGGCUACUUUAAUAUUCUCUAUUCUUGUAAGAACUGACCCUGAAACUUUGUGGUUUGGUUGGUUAACCCAACAGAAAUCUCUUAGAAGGAAUGCCUUCAUUUGGGGAUUAUUUUUACAAAUCAUUUUGAGAUAUUUGAGUAAUCACAUGUGCUCCUGGUUUGCUCCCGCCUCUGCCCUCCUAACCUCAUUUUCCUUUCAUUAGGCUAAUGUAUUAGGUACAAGAAAUCAGAGGGAAGUAGUGUUCUUUGGAAGAUUUUGCACUGGUGGCUUCUCCCCGCUUUAGGGGCAGCAGUUAUCUUCAGAGUGAGCGCUUAGAGGUGAUGGAGUCAGGUUUUACUGUUUCUUUGACUUGUAUUAAUGCUAAGUUUUCUCCUGACAGCACUCUUGUUGCAGAAACAGAAACGAUUGGUAUAUUGGUCUGUGUAGGACCAUUUGGGUUAAUGAUCUCUACCAUUAAUGGCUGAUGUGGCAGGUCUAAGAGGCUACACACUAAAGGUCAUAAGACACCCUGAUUUUCUUACUGAAAUUCUUUUUAUUUCUUUAUGAAAUUCCAGCUGUCUAGAACUUUUUCUGCUUAGUGUUUUGUUUAACAGAAGAAGCAUGGCUUCGGGGAAGGAAGUCUUAUAUUAGCUAAUCCUUUCCUCUUCGUUCCCGAUGAGCUUCAAACUAAGAAAGAUGAAAGAAGCCUGGACUGGAGGGAAAAAGGAAAAAGGGAAGGAGUGAGAUCGUAACUAGAGAGGAACACAGGGUUGAUGAAAAGAUUUUGAUGAAAGUGGAAAAAAAACUGAGCAUGUUUGUAUACUGAAGGAAUGGAGAUAAUAGUAGCUAACAUUUAUUGAAAAGAUACUGGAUUUCAGACCCUCUUUUAAGGGCUUUACAUCUGUUAACUCAUUUACUCUUCACAACAUCCCUGUGACAUAGACACUGUUUUCCUCAUCUUACUAAUGAGGAGAGUUAAUCACAGAGAUUGUUACAUGGCUGACAACUAGUCAAGAGCAGAAACAGAAUUUGAACCCAGGGAUUUUGAUGCAAUAACCCAGCUGUUUACCGUUACCCUGUUUCCUCACUAGAACAGUUGGAUGUUGAAGAUUUGGAACAAAUCAUUAUUAAUGGAUCAAGAUUCCAGACGGGAGGGUAUAAAAUCAGGAGCGUAGGUGGGAAUGUUGGUCUUGAGUAAGAAUAAGGAUAUUUUAUUCUGAAGACUAGAAACUGGGGGUACAGUUUGGAGGUGGUAAGUUUAGGGAGGGGAUGGGGUAUUGUGAAGUUUAGGAAAUGAAAUUUCCUGAUUGUGUCAUCCUUUUCCUAUCAAAUAUUUACGCAUGUGUUGAAUUUAUACCUUUUUUAUUACAAAACAUAAUAGAUAGCGAAAAUUGCUUAAAACAAACAUGUAGCUUAUCAUAAACGGUUUUAAGAUGCAACCAUCAUGCAGGUAAAGAAAAUAACAUGUUGUUAGCCAAUCCAGAAGCUUUCCAGGUGCUCCAUUCCAAUUAAAAUGCUCUUUUUCUCCCCAAAUUGAUUAUUUAAAUGUGUAUUGUUUAGUUUUCAAAUAUUUGGAAUUUUCCAGCUUUUGAGUUACUGACUUCUCAUUUAAUUCUAUUGUGGUCAAAGAACAUAGUCUGUGUGAUUUUAAUUCUGUUAAAUUUAUUGUGGUUUGUUUUGUUACCUAGCACAUGAUCUAUCUUGCUUAAUGUUUUAGGUUGACUUGAAAAAAAGAAUGUGUGUUCUGUUGUCAUUGGGUGGAGGGUUUUAUAAAUUUCAGCUUGAUAACACUAGUUGCUCAUGUUGUUUAAAUCUUCUAUAUCCUUGUUGAUUUUAUGUCUACUUGUAUUAAUUUCUGGGAGAGGAGUGUUGAACUCCCCAACCGUAACUGUGGAUUUGUCUGUUUUUCCUUUUAGUUCUGUCAGUUUUUGCUUCUUAUAUCUUGAACCUCUGUUGUUAGUUGUAUACACAUUUAGAAUUGUUAUGUCUUCUUGGUGCAUUGAACCUUUUCUCAUUAUGUAAUAUUCCUCUUCAGUCCUUUUAAUUGUCCUUGUUCAGAGUCUUCCUUGGCUGUUAUUAAUAUAGCUACUUCAAUUUUUUUAAAUUAGUGUUCAAAUUAGUUUUUUCCUAUCAUUUCACUUUCUUUUCCCAUAGCCUUUUAUCUUUCCAUUUAUGGAUCUUCCUUCUCCGACAAGAAAUGUAUGACUCCCUUUAUCCUGAAUAUAUUUAUUUUCUGAAUUCUUUAUUACAUAAAAAGUAGUUAAGUAAGUUAGCCCACACCACCAAAAAUCUAAGCCUACUAAACAGAGUUCAAAUUCUAUUUAUAGUGCUUUUUGUCUUUAGUCUAAAGGUAUAUUGUCUAAAUUCUGUAUUCAAAAGUUACUUGGGUUAAUCUCCUCUACCCUCAUCUACUAUGGUUAUGUUAUUCUUUGAAAUAAAGUAUAGUUAAGUUCU